This 528-nucleotide ribosomal RNA is filed under the name uncultured bacterium. RNAcentral's name for it is "bacterial SSU rRNA". It matches the Rfam family "Bacterial small subunit ribosomal RNA", at positions 200 to 749 of the family's 1533-position model. The record is from RNAcentral.
GAAAAAACUCCGGUGGUGUGAGAUGGACCCGCGUCUGAUUAGCCAGUUGGCGGGGUAACGGCCCACCAAAGCGACGAUCAGUAGCCGGCCUGAGAGGGUGAACGGCCACAUUGGGACUGAGACACGGCCCAAACUCCUACGGGAGGCAGCAGUGGGGAAUAUUGCACAAUGGGGGAAACCCUGAUGCAGCGACGCCGCGUGAGUGAAGAAGUAUUUCGGUAUGUAAAGCUCUAUCAGCAGGGAAGAAGUGACGGUACCUGAAUAAGAAGCCCCGGCUAACUACGUGCCAGCAGCCGCGGUAAUACGUAGGGGGCAAGCGUUAUCCGGAUUUACUGGGUGUAAAGGGAGCGUAGACGGCAAGGCAAGUCUGAAGUGAAAGCCCGGUGCUUAACGCCGGGACUGCUUUGGAAACUGUUUAGCUGGAGUGCCGGAGAGGUAAGCGGAAUUCCUAGUGUAGCGGUGAAAUGCGUAGAUAUUAGGAAGAACACCAGUGGCGAAGGCGGCUUACUGGACGGUAACUGACGUUGA